UACUCUGGUUUUUCUUCAGAUCGUGUAAAUAUUUCACCUUUUACUAAAGAUUUCCAUGGAAAGAAAUCAUCUAAGACAACAAAAUAAGUGCUAUAUAUAGUAAA
This is a non-coding RNA of Pteropus alecto (black flying fox), 104 nucleotides long. The record is from Rfam. Lineage: Eukaryota; Metazoa; Chordata; Mammalia; Chiroptera; Pteropodidae.